AGUCGAACGUGAAAGCACUUCGGUGUGAGUAGAGUGGCGGACGGGUGAGUAACGCGUGGGAAUCUGCCCAGUAGUGGGGGACAACUACCGGAAACGGUAGCUAAUACCGCAUACGCCCUAUGGGGGAAAGGCUUCGGCCGCUAUUGGAUGAGCCCGCGUCAGAUUAGCUAGUUGGUAGGGUAAAGGCCUACCAAGGCAACGAUCUGUAGCUGGUCUGAGAGGACGAACAGCCACACUGGGACUGAGACACGGCCCAGACUCCUACGGGAGGCAGCAGUGGGGAAUAUUGGACAAUGGGCGAAAGCCUGAUCCAGCAAUGCCGCGUGUGUGAAGAAGGCCUGCGGGUUGUAAAGCACUUUCAGUUGGGAAGAUGAUGACGUUACCAACAGAAGAAGCACCGGCUAAAUCCGUGCCAGCAGCCGCGGUAAUACGGAUGGUGCGAGCGUUAAUCGGAAUUACUGGGCGUAAAGCGUGCGUAGGUGGUUGUUUAAGUCAGAUGUGAAAGCCCCGGGCUUAACCUGGGAACUGCAUUUGAAACUGGAUAACUAGAGUAUAGUAGAGGAAAGUAGAAUUUCUGGUGUAGCGGUGAAAUGCGUAGAUAUCAGAAGGAAUACCGAUGGCGAAGGCAGCUUUCUGGACUAAUACUGACACUGAGGUACGAAAGCGUGGGUAGCAAACAGGAUUAGAUACCCUGGUAGAAGGGC
This 704-nucleotide ribosomal RNA is filed under the name uncultured Gammaproteobacteria bacterium. RNAcentral describes it as "bacterial SSU rRNA". It matches the Rfam family "Bacterial small subunit ribosomal RNA", at positions 60 to 795 of the family's 1533-position model. Lineage: Bacteria; Pseudomonadati; Pseudomonadota; Gammaproteobacteria. The record is from RNAcentral.